This 891-nucleotide ribosomal RNA is filed under the name uncultured marine bacterium. RNAcentral describes it as "bacterial SSU rRNA". It matches the Rfam family "Bacterial small subunit ribosomal RNA", at positions 57 to 999 of the family's 1533-position model. The record is from RNAcentral.
GCAGUCGAACGAAGUACAAUACUUAGUGGCAGACGGGUGAGUAACAUGUGGCCAUCUGCCCUUUGGCCUGGAAUAACACGAGGAAACUUGUGCUAAUACCAGAUAAGUCUUUACGGAGAAAGCUUAAUGCACCAUUGGAUGAGCCCGCACUUGAUUAGUUUGUUGGUGGGGUAAUGGCCUACCAAGACUGUGAUCAAUAGCUGAUUUGAGAGGAUGAUCAGCCACAUUGGGACUGAGACACGGCCCAAACUCCUACGGGAGGCAGCAGUGGGGAAUCUUGCACAAUGGAGGAAACUCUGAUGCAGCGAUGCCGCGUGAGUGAAGAAGGCCUUUGGGUUGUAAAGCUCUUUCGUCGGGGAAGAAAAUGACUGUACCCGAAUAAGAAGGUCCGGCUAACUUCGUGCCAGCAGCCGCGGUAAUACGAAGGGACCUAGCGUAGUUCGGAAUUACUGGGCUUAAAGAGUUCGUAGGUGGUUGAAAAAGUUGGUGGUGAAAUCCCAGAGCUUAACUCUGGAACUGCCAUCAAAACUUUUCAGCUAGAGUAUGAUAGAGGAAAGCAGAAUUUCUAGUGUAGAGGUGAAAUUCGUAGAUAUUAGAAAGAAUACCAAUUGCGAAGGCAGCUUUCUGGAUCAUUACUGACACUGAGGAACGAAAGCAUGGGUAGCGAAGAGGAUUAGAUACCCUCGUAGUCCAUGCCGUANACGAUGUGUGUUAGACGUUGGAAAUUUAUUUUCAGUGUCGCAGCGAAAGCAAUAAACACACCGCCUGGGGAGUACGACCGCAAGGUUAAAACUCAAAUGAAUUGACGGGGACCCGCACAAGUAGUGGAGCAUGUGGUUUAAUUCGAAGAUACGCGCAGAACCUUACCACACUUGACAUGUUCGUCGCGAC